UUAAUUCUCCAAUUUCCAGCACCUAUUCACAAAGGCUUAACCUUAAACCAAGUCAAUUUCCAUGCACAUAAGCACCAAGAGAGAAUUAAUUUCCAGCACCCACAAAAGAGAGGUCAAGAAACAAAAGCAAGAAACAAAUUUAAUUGAAAGAAAACAGUACCACCAAAAGGAUUUAUAAUAUGACAACUUAGAAAGAGAUUCAAGAAAUUAAAGCAAACAAUUAAAGGUACUCAAUAAAAGUUGGCACACAAAAGGAAUUCCUAAAGAAAAGCACUAGAUUAGAUGACCAAAUAAAAAAACAGCACCACUGGAAAAUGUUGUGGGCCAGAAAACAGUUUUGUUCCCCGAUUUAUGCUGAGCUGUAAUUGUAAAAUUUGUUUCUGAAAUUUGGAUACAAGAAAAUUCAGGAUCUUAGCUAAAUUUUGGCUUUGGAAUCACCUAAAACGCAUGCACCAUUUUUUUUUAAUAAUUUUUGCAAAUUUGGUGUGCAGUUAGGCCAGCUGUAACGCUCAAGAUUCGCACUCUGAUUUUGUGAGAUUUAUCAUUUUUUUUCUGUUGCUCCUUUUGACCUCAUUCUUUUUUUGUCUUUUCUAUAACACCUUAAACUUGCAUUUUCCAGAAAUUCAGAAUUUUCCUAUGGGUGGAAAAAAUUUUGUUAAACAAAACAGCCCAGAACAGAGAGGUGAUACAGGGGAAAUCUGGAAAACUGGAAGAAAACAGCAAGAUAACCAAAAAUAACACAAUGGAAAAUGUGAGAAUGGAAAUUGUGUAUGAACUAAGACACAAUUAUGAACUCAAACUAAAAAUAAAAAACACCAAAGGAUCAAAA
RNAcentral lists this long non-coding RNA (829 nucleotides) under Phaseolus vulgaris (common bean). RNAcentral's name for it is "long non-coding RNA (PVUL_LNC002130)". Lineage: Eukaryota; Viridiplantae; Streptophyta; Magnoliopsida; Fabales; Fabaceae. The record is from RNAcentral.